Molecule: long non-coding RNA, 1704 nt
Organism: Folsomia candida
Lineage: Eukaryota; Metazoa; Arthropoda; Collembola; Entomobryomorpha; Isotomidae
Exons: 3
Source: RefSeq, a predicted model, not a curated record
CUUACAAAUCUAUAACAUUACACGUACAAUGGACAACGAUUUACAAAUAAAAUACCCCAACUCGACAGAAAAAGUGAGAAAAUGUGUAAAUGAAAAAAGUGCAUGCCUCAUUAGAGAACGAAAAAAUCAGAUUACAGAACACGUAGUUACGAACCCUGAUAUCAGGCCAGGCUUAUACCGUGUGUCACACUGCUCAUUCUGUUUUAUUUAACCGGUGCAUGUAUGCAUUUCUUACGGAAAAUAAAAAGGUUUCUUUACAAGCUCAUACAUAACAUUGCAUCCUUUUAACUUCCAGCCGGAAGAGAAUAACAAGAGUGGAUUUUGUGCCGUUUUUAAUUUGAUUUGACGUUUACUCGCAAACAGCAAUGUCGAAAGGAAGCGGUAGCGAUAAUGACGCCGAAUUGGUGCAUCAUCUCGAGGCGACGGUGUCAAGUCUUCGACAGGAAGUGAAAAUCCUGAAGGAAUCCAUCGACAAAGUUGACGAAGCUAAUCGAGAAGGUCUUUGGCUCUGCUUCAUUUCCAUUGUCGUUCUGGCAAUCAUGUUUGCCUGCACGGUGUUCUACGUCUGGUAUCAAACUGGCGGAUCAGCCCACCUUCCAUGGAGUUGGAGAAAGUCCGAAUUAUAAUGGUACGACUAUAACAACACCGUAAAAUUGGCAAAUGUCGCAAAUAAUAGUUCCACAUUUGACGACGAGGACGACGACCCCGAUUCUUCUCACAAUAAUCUCCUUCUCUCAUAUUUAUUCAUAAAUUGAUGAUUAAUUUGUUCGUAAUUUAACAAUUUUUUAAUUUAAUUAACAAUUUUUUUGUAUCAUAAUAAAACACUAGUAAAUAUUUAAUAUGUCUAAUUUUUAGACCCUAUAAUUUCAUGAGUAUUUUUUGUUAACAACCUCGUAAAUAGUACUCGGCGAGUAUUUAUUUGAGCAAAAACUCUUAAACUUUCGACCCUAAUCGACUAUCUGAUACCAAAUUAAAGUAACGUCCCGACUUUUGUAUUUCUGACUGUUUCUCACGCGGAUAUUUGUAACCCAGUAAAAUUCUCAGACUUGCAAAUGUUUCCGCAAGAUUACAAAGAUUACAAAGCUUACAAAUCAACCAUGAACUAACACAUAUUAAGAGCUUCGAUUAUUUAGUGAAAAGGGAAAUUUUGCGAAUUAAGUUUACGGUUUACAAACUUUGAAUCUUAGAUCCAAUUCACGCAGGCCUUGGUAACUACGUAAAAUCCGUAAACUUACAAACUCUUUCAAAAUUUUCCAAGGAAAAUUAGCUUACGAAUUUUUAGAUCUUUUUAUUUUGUAAAAGUGUGUAACGUUUUUUCUCAAAAUUUACGGAUUUUACAAAGUUACCAAAAAAUUCGUAAAUUACCUCUUUAUAAAAUUCAACUGGAAUUUCUCCAAAAACUUUGCUCUUCAUAUGCGAAAUUUCCUUCGUAAUCUUUGUAAUCUUGUAUGCACAACCAUUUAUAAGUUUACUAAGGUUAUACGGUUACAAAUAUCUGCAUCAAUAUUUAAUAUACAAUUUCAUAAAUGUCAUUUAUGUAUAUAACUUCUAAAAAUUUGGGCCUGCAUAAAUUUCUAUAAAAAUUGUUUUCGAAAGUAUAUAUACACAUCUAGAAAAGUUUCUGUCCGGUUAAUUCAAUAAUAAGUUCGUAUUCUUGUCUAUGUACGUAUGAUAAAUAAAUAAAUUUGUACUCAUCCAUUACAU